UUACUGAGUAUAUGCUUCUGCCUGAAAGCCCUAGCAGAUGUAUGGGGAAGAUAACAAAAGGAAAAGUGCGAUGGAGGACAUAUGGCAAGCGAAAAGAAAGAAGACAUGAGGAGAGGACAGGACAAGAAAUACCUGUGGGCUGGACCGUGUGCCUGGGAAUUUUUCAGGAUUUGAGAUUGCAUAUCUGUGGCAGAAAGAAAACGUAAAGGGUCCUGGGCGUGUUCCUCCUCGUGUACCUGCGGGAUGAGCACGACGGAGCAAAGGCACACACGUGCGACCUAGAAGCUCUGCAAAGAGGAGGGGUUUUCAAGUCCAGACCAGUAGGACAUGAGUACGUUCAUCCGGAGAACUCCCAAUUACUGUUUUAGAUUUCAUCAGAGGAUAGCUGUCCCAUGGCACAUGUGCUUGUGAACAAAGUAAAGCAUUUUGAGUUGUACAUUGCCAUAGCAAGGAAGUGAAGGACAACUUCAGACUAAUUC
Long non-coding RNA from Dromaius novaehollandiae (emu), 479 nucleotides. RefSeq lists it as uncharacterized. The record is from RefSeq and is a predicted model, not a curated record. Lineage: Eukaryota; Metazoa; Chordata; Aves; Casuariiformes; Dromaiidae. The transcript is spliced from 3 exons.